AACGAACGCUGGCGGCAUGCCUAACACAUGCAAGUCGAACGAGACCUUCGGGUCUAGUUGCGCACGGGUGCGUAACGCGUGGGAACCUUCCCUUAUGUUCGGAAUAACUCCCCGAAAGGGGUGCUAAUACCGGAUAAUUUCUUCUAACCAAAGAUUUAUCGACUUUGUAUGGGCCCGAGUUGUAUUAGCUAGUUGGUAGGGUAAAAGCCUACCAAGGCGAGGAUCCAUAGCUGGUCUGAGAGGAUGAUCAGCAACACUGGGACUAAGACACGGCCCAGAAUCCUACGGGAGGCAGCAGUGGGGAAUAUUGGAAAAUGGGCGAAGGCAUGAUCCAGCACUGCCGCGUGAGUGAUGAAGGCCUUAGGGUUGUAAAGCUCUUUUACCCGGGAUGAUAAUGACAGUACCGGGAGAAUAAGCUCCGGCUAACUCCGUG
RNAcentral lists this ribosomal RNA (433 nucleotides) under uncultured bacterium. Its description in RNAcentral is "partial 16S ribosomal RNA". It matches the Rfam family "Bacterial small subunit ribosomal RNA", at positions 29 to 507 of the family's 1533-position model. The record is from RNAcentral.